Molecule: ribosomal RNA, 468 nt
Filed under: uncultured bacterium
Lineage: Bacteria
Description: partial 16S ribosomal RNA
Rfam family: Bacterial small subunit ribosomal RNA
Source: RNAcentral
GACGAACGCUGGCGGCGUGCUUAACACAUGCAUGUCGAACGGAAAGGCCCUGCUUUUGUGGGGUGCUCGAGUGGCGAACGGGUGAGUAACACGUGAGUAACCUGCCCUUGACUUUGGGAUAACUUCAGGAAACUGGGGCUAAUACCGGAUAGGAGCUCCUGCUGCAUGGUGGGGGUUGGAAAGUUUCGGCGGUUGGGGAUGGACUCGCGGCUUAUCAGCUUGUUGGUGGGGUAGUGGCUUACCAAGGCUUUGACGGGUAGCCGGCCUGAGGGGGUGACCGGCCACAUUGGGACUGAGAUACGGCCCAGACUCCUACGGGAGGCAGCAGUGGGGAAUAUUGCACAAUGGGCGGAAGCCUGAUGCAGCAACGCCGCGUGCGGGAUGACGGCCUUCGGGUUGUAAACCGCUUUCGCCUGUGACGAAGCGUGAGUGACGGUAAUGGGUAAAGAGGCACCGGCUAACUACGUG